CAAUAGCGUAUAUUAAAGUUGUUGCAGUUAAAAAGCUCGUAGUUGGAUUUCGGAGUGGGCCAGUUGGUCCGCCGCAAGGUGUGUUACUGACUGGUUUGCUCUUCUUCGCAAAGACUGCGUGUGCUCUUUAUUGAGUGUGCGUAGGAUUUACGACGUUUACUUUGAAAAAAUUAGAGUGUUCAAAGCAGGCUAUUGCUUGAAUACAUGAGCAUGGAAUAAUGGAAUAGGAUUUUGGUCCCAUUUUGUUGGUUUCUAGGACCGAAGUAAUGAUUAAGAGGGACAAUUGGGGGCAUCCGUAUUUCGUUGUCAGAGGUGAAAUUCUUGGAUUUACGAAAGACGAACAACUGCGAAAGCACUUGCCAAGAGUGUUUUCAUUA
Molecule: ribosomal RNA, 377 nt
Filed under: uncultured eukaryote
Lineage: Eukaryota
Description: partial 18S ribosomal RNA
Rfam family: Eukaryotic small subunit ribosomal RNA
Source: RNAcentral